AGACCCGAAACCCGGUGAUCUAGCCAUGGGCAGGUUGAAGGUUGGGUAACACUAACUGGAGGACCGAACCGACUAAUGUUGAAAAAUUAGCGGAUGACCUGUGGCUGGGGGUGAAAGGCCAAUCAAACCGGGAGAUAGCUGGUUCUCCCCGAAAGCUAUUUAGGUAGCGCCUCGUGAAUUCAUCUCCGGGGGUAGAGCACUGUUUCGGCUAGGGGGCCAUCCCGGCUUACCAACCCGAUGCAAACUGCGAAUACCGGAGAAUGUUAUCACGGGAGACACACGGCGGGUGCUAACGUCCGUCGUGAAGAGGGAAACAACCCAGACCGCCAGCUAAGGUCCCAAAGUCAUGGUUAAGUGGGAAACGAUGUGGGAAGGCCCAGACAGCCAGGAUGUUGGCUUAGAAGCAGCCAUCAUUUAAAGAAAGCGUAAUAGCUCACUGGUCGAGUCGGCCUGCGCGGAAGAUGUAACGGGGCUAAACCAUGCACCGAAGCUG
RNAcentral lists this ribosomal RNA (493 nucleotides) under Salmonella enterica subsp. enterica serovar Infantis. RNAcentral describes it as "partial 23S ribosomal RNA". It matches the Rfam family "Bacterial large subunit ribosomal RNA", at positions 711 to 1202 of the family's 2925-position model. Lineage: Bacteria; Pseudomonadati; Pseudomonadota; Gammaproteobacteria; Enterobacterales; Enterobacteriaceae. The record is from RNAcentral. RNAcentral also lists the same sequence under 14 other names.